AGCCUUGUAGUUAAACAUAAUGUCAAAUUGCAAAUUUGAAGUUGGGUAUGUCCCUAAGGCUU
This 62-nucleotide transfer RNA is filed under the name Cheirotonus gestroi. Its description in RNAcentral is "tRNA-Cys". The record is from RNAcentral. Lineage: Eukaryota; Metazoa; Arthropoda; Insecta; Coleoptera; Scarabaeidae. RNAcentral also lists the same sequence under 1 other name.